RNAcentral lists this ribosomal RNA (496 nucleotides) under uncultured bacterium. RNAcentral describes it as "partial 16S ribosomal RNA". It matches the Rfam family "Bacterial small subunit ribosomal RNA", at positions 29 to 507 of the family's 1533-position model. The record is from RNAcentral.
AUGAACGCUGGCGGCGUGCCUAAUACAUGCAAGUCGAGCGAACGGACGAGAAGCUUGCUUUUCUGAUGUUAGCGGCGGACGGGUGAGUAACACGUGGAUAACCUACCUAUAAGACUGGGAUAACUUCGGGAAACCGGAGCUAAUACCGGAUAAUAUUUUGAACCGCAUGGUUCAAAAGUGAAAGACGGUCUUGCUGUCACUUAUAGAUGGAUCCGCGCUGCAUUAGCUAGUUGGUAAGGUAACGGCUUACCAAGGCAACGAUGCAUAGCCGACCUGAGAGGGUGUUCGGCCACACUGGAACUGAGACACGGUCCAGACUCCUACGGGAGGCAGCAGUAGGGAAUCUUCCGCAAUGGGCGAAAGCCUGACGGAGCAACGCCGCGUGAGUGAUGAAGGUCUUCGGAUCGUAAAACUCUGUUAUUAGGGAAGAACAUAUGUGUAAGUAACUGUGCACAUCUUGACGGUACCUAAUCAGAAAGCCACGGCUAACUACGUG